CUUUUUCAUGAGAGAGGUGGUCCAUAUAUAUAGGGAGGAAAAGCCCCAACACCCUCAUCUAUUAGCAAUAUGGGACUAAUAGAUGGUGUACCCCCUCUUUACGCUAAUGGGCCUUUGAGAUUUAUUCAGAAUUAUCAUUUAUAUGGGCCAAGCCCAUAUAUCUAACAAUCCCCCACCAGAUCUCAAAUACCCAUUUAGGUGUUUUGCACAUUUCUCACUACUGGGCCUUUGAGAUUUUUUCAGAAUUAUCAUUUAUAUGGGCCAAGCCCAUAUAUCUAACAAUCCCCCACCAGAUCUCAAAUACCCAUUUAGGUGUUUUGCACAUUUCUCACUACUGUUUGAUACACCAGUAUUUCAG
Molecule: long non-coding RNA, 358 nt
Filed under: Setaria viridis
Lineage: Eukaryota; Viridiplantae; Streptophyta; Magnoliopsida; Poales; Poaceae
Description: long non-coding RNA (SVIR_LNC003426)
Source: RNAcentral